GAUGAACGCUGGCGGCGUGCCUAAUACAUGCAAGUCGAGCGAACAGAGGAGGAGGGUUCUCCUCUGACGUUAGCGGCGGACGGGUUAGUAACACGUGGAUAACCUACCUAUAGGACUGGGAUAACUUCGGGAAACCGUAGCGAAUACCGGAUAAGAUAGUGAACCGCGGGGUUCAAUGGUGAAAUACGGUUUUGCUGUCACGUAUAGAUGGAGCCGGGCCGCAUUAGCUAGUUGGUAAGGUAACGGCUUACCAAGGCAACGAUGCGUAGCCGACCUGAGAGGGUGACCAGCCACACUGGAACUGAGACACGGUCCAGACUCCUACGGGAGGCAGCAGUAGGGAAUCUUCCGCAAUGGGCGCAAGCCUGACGGAGCAACGCCGCGUGAGUGAUGAAGGUCUUCGGAUCGUAAACCUCUGUUAUUAGGGACGAAAAAAUGUCCACGUAACUCUGCCCCUAUUGACGGUACCUAAACAGAAAGCAACGGCUAACUACGUG
RNAcentral lists this ribosomal RNA (497 nucleotides) under uncultured bacterium. Its description in RNAcentral is "partial 16S ribosomal RNA". It matches the Rfam family "Bacterial small subunit ribosomal RNA", at positions 28 to 507 of the family's 1533-position model. The record is from RNAcentral.